Non-coding RNA from Zonotrichia albicollis (white-throated sparrow), 1542 nucleotides. Lineage: Eukaryota; Metazoa; Chordata; Aves; Passeriformes; Passerellidae. The record is from RefSeq and is a predicted model, not a curated record.
AUCUCCUCGGCUUUGAGUUUCUCCUCCUCCCGCAUCUCGUUGUCGGACUCCAGGGCAUCAAAGACGGCAGCCCCGACCAGCAGAGCUGGGCCAAGUCCCAGUGCCCUCCUCAAGAGACUUGGGAAGACUCAGCCCUGCCAGGACUUCAGCCAAGGGAAGACAGGAGCAUCUUCUUUUCCUUUGUGAAAAGAGUCUUGGAUCUGCAGACACCCUGGCUGGCAAGGUGACAUCCUGCUGGGGUGACAUCCUUCUGCAUCCCUGGAGUCCACGUCCCCAAAACACACUGAACACAUUUGUAGCAGAUGGGAGCACAUCCAAAUACUGUGUGUGUUCCAUAAAACCCUUUAAUUCUCAGGAGCCUGUGGCCUUCCUCAAGCCAGAGGAGAAAUGUCAAACUCCUGAGCACUGGGGCAAAGGCAGGGACCGGAACGUAUGAGAAGGCUGCCUGGGCAGGCACCAGAGACGCGACCUCCUGACUUUCUGCCCCGUAGGAGACUCAAUCAGAAGAGCAUUGUUGAAGAGUCCUGGAGUGCUGAGUCCAGUUCUGGGCUCCUCAUUACAAGAGACAGGGACACACUGGAGAGACUCCAAUGCAGGGCCAUGAGGAGGAUUAAUGGACUGGAGCAUCCCUCCCACGAGGACAGGAUGUGAGCACUGGCACUGCUCAGGCUGGGAAAGACUCCAGGGAAUCUCAGCAACAUAGAUGAACACCUGGAAGGAGGUGAGAGGACAGAGCCAGGCUCUUUGACUCAGUGCUGCCCCGUGGCAGGACCAGUGUGCACACACUGAAACACAGCAUCUUCCCUCUGACCCCCAGGAAAUAAUUCCUUUCCUGUGAAGGUGGCCCAGCACUGGCACAGAUUGCCCAGGGAGGCUGUGGAGUCUCCAUCCUUGCAGAUUCUCAAAACCCAUCUGCACAUGGUCCAUGGCAAGGGGCUUUAGGUGGCCCUGCUCGAGCAGGGAUGAGACCACAGUGAUUUCCAGAGGUCCCUGCCCAUCUCUGUGAUUCUCUGAAAGGAAGUGAUAAUCAUCACCGCAUCUUAGGGAAGGGCUAGAAAACCUUUAUGGCAUUGGAUUUCUCCUGCAGCAGCACACUCUAAUACCAUGGGUUGUCCUGCCCAACAUGAUCAAUCUGCUUCUUGCAGUAUUGCCCUGAGAUCAUGGAGGUGAAGUAGGGGUUAUAAUGGUAUCCCACUAUCAGGCAUUAACUGACUUGGGUUUCUCAAAAUCUCAGGUUUCUGUGGUUGAGAUGACCCUGAGGUAUCAGAAAGUCUCUUUUUCCCAGCUCCACAACCGAAGAAAUCGAGAUUCAUUGGUUCUGCUUUUCAAGGUUGUUUAUUUUUUCUUAUCUAUUACAUUCUUUCUCUGACCUGCUGAGAUCUGUCCUGCAGGUCAGGUUGUGGCACAGCAUGUGCCCUUUGGGUGGUGCUAACUUUUUAUACUAAGAACUACAUGUACUUAUUUACAAUAACUUUCCAAUACCUAUCACCUAUGUUAGACAGUCUGUCUCUAUACUAAACCAAUCAAAAAGUGUCACCAAGU